Molecule: ribosomal RNA, 253 nt
Filed under: uncultured Eubacteriales bacterium
Lineage: Bacteria; Bacillati; Bacillota; Clostridia; Eubacteriales
Description: uncultured Clostridiales bacterium partial 16S ribosomal RNA
Rfam family: Bacterial small subunit ribosomal RNA
Source: RNAcentral
UACGUAGGAGGCAAGCGUUAUCCGGAAUGACUGGGCGUAAAGGGUGCGUAGGUGGUUCAGCAAGUUAGUAGCGUAACUCCGGGGCUCAACCUCGGCACUACUACUAAAACUGUUGAACUUGAGUGCAGGAGGGGUGAAUGGAAUUCCCAGUGUAGCGGUGGAAUGCGUAGAUAUUGGGAAGAACACCAGCGGCGAAGGCGAUUCACUGGACUGUAACUGACACUGAGGCACGAAAGCGUGGGGAGCAAACAGG